GAACAAAUAGCUCAAUGGUAGAGCAGCGGCCUUGUAAGCCAAAGGACUGUGGUUCGAUU
Molecule: non-coding RNA, 59 nt
Organism: Daphnia pulex (common water flea)
Lineage: Eukaryota; Metazoa; Arthropoda; Branchiopoda; Diplostraca; Daphniidae
Source: Rfam